UGGGGAAUUUUGCACAAUGGGGGAAACCCUGAUGCAGCGACGCCGCGUGAUUUAGAAGGCCUUCGGGUUGUAAAAAUCUUUUCUAUGGGAAGAAAAUGACAGUACCAUAGGAAUAAGGACCGGCUAAUUACGUGCCAGCAGCCGCGGUAAUACGUAAGGUCCGAGCGUUGUCCGGAAUCAUUGGGCGUAAAGGGUACGUAGGCGGGUAAGCAAGUUAGAAGUGAAAUCCUAUAGCUCAACUAUAGUAAGCUUUUAAAACUGCUCAUCUUGAGGUAUGGAAGGGAAAGUGGUAUUCCUAGUGUAGCGGUGAAAUGCGCAGAUAUUAGGAGGAAUAUCGGUGGCGAAGGCGACUUUCUGGCCAUAACCUGACGCUGAGGUACGAAAGCGUGGGUAGCAAACAGG
This 402-nucleotide ribosomal RNA is filed under the name bacterium. Its description in RNAcentral is "partial 16S ribosomal RNA". It matches the Rfam family "Bacterial small subunit ribosomal RNA", at positions 355 to 776 of the family's 1533-position model. The record is from RNAcentral.